RNAcentral lists this unclassified non-coding RNA (348 nucleotides) under soil metagenome. RNAcentral's name for it is "partial contains 5.8S ribosomal RNA, internal transcribed spacer 2, and large subunit ribosomal RNA". The stretch from base 1 to 120 matches the Rfam family "5.8S ribosomal RNA", at positions 35 to 154 of the family's 154-position model. The record is from RNAcentral.
GAUGAAGAACGUAGCAAAAUGCGAUAAGUAAUGUGAAUUGCAGAAUUCAGUGAACCAUCGAAUCUUUGAACGCACAUUGCGCCCGCUGGAACUCCGGCGGGCACGCCUGUCCGAGCGUCAUUUCAACCCUCAGGCCCCCCUUCGCGGGCGGGCCUGGUGUUGGGGCCCGGCCGCUACCCUGCGGCCGUCCCCUAAAUUCAGUGGCGGCCUCGCCGUGAUCCCUUGCGUAGUAAUGCACCUCGCACCGGAGAGCGCCGUGGCCACGCCGUAAAACCCCCAAUUUUCAAUGGUUGACCUCGGAUCAGGUGGGAAUACCCGCUGAACUUAAGCAUAUCAAUAAGCGGAGGA